RNAcentral lists this ribosomal RNA (309 nucleotides) under Triticum aestivum (bread wheat). RNAcentral's name for it is "partial small subunit ribosomal RNA". Lineage: Eukaryota; Viridiplantae; Streptophyta; Magnoliopsida; Poales; Poaceae. The record is from RNAcentral.
AUGGUCCUACCAAAGUCGAUGGGUGGCAUGGGAUUCAAGGACAUGCGUGCUUUUAACCAAGCUCUUCUGGCCAAGCAAGCUUGGAGAUUGAUCUCACAUCCAGAAAGUUUGGUUGGAAGGUUGCUCAGUGCAAAAUAUUACCCCACAGGUAACUUGGUGGAUAAUGUAUUUACAGGAAACGCGUCGGCUAUAUGGCAUGGUAUUGAGCAUGGUCUGGAACUAGUUAAACGUGGAAUGAUAUGGCGUGUGGGAAACGGGAGCAAGAUUAGAACAUGGAGGGAUCCAUGGAUCCCAAGAGGCCUUCUCUAA